GACGAACGCUGGCGGCGUGCCUAAUACAUGCCAGUUGAGCGCUGAAGGUUGGUACUUGUACCAACUGGAUGAGCAGCGAACGGGUGAGUAACGCGUGGGGAAUCUGCCUUUGAGCGGGGGACAACAUUUGGAAACGAAUGCUAAUACCGCAUAAAAACUUUAAACACAAGUUUUAAGUUUGAAAGAUGCAAUUGCAUCACUCAAAGAUGAUCCCGCGUUUUAUUAGCUAGUUGGUGAGGUAAAGGCUCACCAAGGCGAUGAUACAUAGCCGACCUGAGAGGGUGAUCGGCCACCUUGGGACUGAGAAACGGCCCAAACUCCUACGGGAGGCAGCAGCAGGGAAUCUUCGGCAAUGGACGAAAGUCUGACCGAGCAACGCCGCGUGAGUGAAGAAGGUUUUCGGAUCGUAAAACUCUGUUGGUAGAGAAGAACGUUGGUGAGAGUGGAAAGCUCAUCAAGUGACGGUAACUACCCAGAAAGGGACGGCUAACUACGUG
Molecule: ribosomal RNA, 497 nt
Filed under: uncultured bacterium
Lineage: Bacteria
Description: partial 16S ribosomal RNA
Rfam family: Bacterial small subunit ribosomal RNA
Source: RNAcentral